CCAGACUCCUACGGGAGGCAGCAGUGGGGAAUAUUGCACAAUGGGGGGAACCCUGAUGCAGCGACGCCGCGUGAGGGAAGAAGGUUUUCGGAUUGUAAACCUCUGUCCUCUGUGACGAUAAUGACGGUAGCAGAGGAGGAAGCCACGGCUAACUACGUGCCAGCAGCCGCGGUAAUACGUAGGUGGCGAGCGUUAUCCGGAAUUACUGGGUGUAAAGGGAGCGUAGGCGGGGGAACAAGUUGAAUGUUUAAGAUAUGGGCUCAACUCAUAUAAGCGUUCAAAACUGUUUUUCUUGAGUGAAGUAGAGGUAAGCGGAAUUCCUAGUGUAGCGGUGGAAUGCGUAAAUAUUAGGAGGAACACCAGUGGCGAAGGCGGCUUACUGGGCUUUAACUGACGCUGAGGCUCGAAAGCGUGGGUAGCAAACAGGAUUAGAUACCCCUGUA
RNAcentral lists this ribosomal RNA (443 nucleotides) under uncultured bacterium. RNAcentral's name for it is "partial 16S ribosomal RNA". It matches the Rfam family "Bacterial small subunit ribosomal RNA", at positions 331 to 792 of the family's 1533-position model. The record is from RNAcentral.